RNAcentral lists this transfer-messenger RNA (428 nucleotides) under Patescibacteria group. Its description in RNAcentral is "MFBN01 sp001776425 Standard tmRNA". It matches the Rfam family "transfer-messenger RNA". From Rfam's summary of the family: Bacterial tmRNA, also known as 10Sa RNA or SsrA, is named for its dual tRNA and mRNA-like properties. The record is from RNAcentral. RNAcentral also lists the same sequence under 2 other names.
GGGGAUGUAUUGUUUCGACAGGAUUGCACUUUAAAAACUGCAAGCCGAAUACGAUUCUAAAGCGCGUUAGGCUUUGAAUCAAAUUACGUGCAAAGAACAAACUUGCACAACUGGCUGAUGCCCUUUUCGGUGUCAGGCAGUCAGCUUACGCAUUUGCUGCAUAAGUAAAGCUUGAGCUUGUCUCUCUGGCUUUUUCUCGGUGAAGCUUUUGAGGCACAAACUAAGCCGAGAGUAGUCCGCUCAUUUUGAUCAAAUGGGCGAGACGAAACUGCCGAUCUUUGUUUGAAUUUCGCCCGCCUCGCUUCGCGGGGCGAAGUGGGCCUGUUAAUCGGCCACAAAUUCAAACGAGAAUUUAUAGAUUAACUAAGCUUGUAGACGUUUUUAAUUUGUAUUCUUGGACCCGAGUUCAAAGCUCGGCAUCUCCACAC